UUGAAUUAAAUCAACUUUGAAUAUUUUACCAGGUACAACAUUUGUAUUAUUUUGAACGGGUUACGAUUUUCCAAAUGCUAGUACUAAAAUAUUUAUCACAAUUUGAGGAAUAUGCCCAACAUAAUAUAGUAGCCGUACUUGAUUUCUUUCUUUUGAUUAUCGCUAUUAGUUAAAUAAAUUUACAGUGGCACCGAAUCCAUGUAUUAGGUGUGGCAGCCGCCACACCUAUUUUAAGGGGUGGGUGUACCCCCAAAAUUUGUGAGUAAUCGUAAUCCUAAGUAUAAAAAUAUAUUGUACCUACACAUAAUAUAAGAAAGAUGACGUCCUAUAGUGUGCCAAUAGCGUGCAGUGUCUACUUGUGUGAUAACGUUAUAAAUAACCAAUUACUAAUUAUUAAUAAAUAAUUUAAUCAAUAGUAUUGUGUAAAAAGUCAAAAACUCUGACAAUACAAUACAUUUACUAUUUUUAUUUUAAAAGUGAUAAAACAAUUAGUACCUAUUAACUGAAAUAGCGGGGGUGAUGGCCCCCCGGCACACAUGAAUGAAUUUUAUUUUACAACAAUUUCUGCAUUUAUAUUUUAUGUCUGAAAUUACCUAUUAUGACAUUAAAAAUGGUUCAAAUUUCUACUUCACCAACUUUUCUGAUAAAAAAAGUGAAUCUAGUUGGUACUUUGUUGAGUCAAAACUCAAAAGUAAAAAAGUUAAUUUUUAAACAGUAAUUUUCAAAAGCAUCGUCGGGUGGCAUUUUGUCGGAUUUUGGUGAUGGUGUUUUGUCGCUAUCACGUGGCCUUAUGUCGGGUAGUUAUUUGUCGGGUGGCUUUUUGGCGUGCUUCCUUUUAUGUUAGGCUUCAUGUAAUCAUUGUUAUGAUUUUGCGGUUAUAACCACGGUUAUAUUAUACUAAUGUCUUAAACCAUGGUUAUAACAAAUAAGUCGACAAAAUCUAAUUUUCUGAUUGGCUGCUAUUUUUACUGCGUCAAGAGACAUCUAAUGCAUUGCCAGCUGCAUGUUGUUUGGUUUUUAUCAAUCAUUUCUCAAAACAUUUUUCAAGUGACUAGUGAGUACACUUCAGUUAUAGUAUUAAAAUAAUAUUUCUUAGGUUAUGUAUCGAACAAUUUCAUACGUAUUUGAAUAAAACUAUUUUUUUUUUUUUGAAAUCUAGCAUGCCGAAAGACAAAAUGGCUAGCAACCAUUACAACGGCCGUGGUAGCGGGUUGUUCUAUGGUACCACGGUGCUUUGCCGGGUGCCCGUACGCCGUCCGGGAGGAAACGUAUCUAAUAAAAAAAAGCACAUGCGUAUUGCAUUUGCCAAGAUGGUACAGGUGCCAACAGGUGGGUCACCUGGCAAGGAAUUGUGGAAAGUUUGUCCUAUUAUUUAUUUUGUCACGUGCUAAGCUUUUGUAAAUUUUAUCAGACCCCUGCGUGGUACUUGCGGCAUCGUCGGGCGCGUCCUCAUCGGUGGUCGCGUCGUCGUCGCAGCAGCGGCGACGACAACCACUGCAGGGGCCGCAGCCACCACAGCAGCAGCGAGGGUCGAAGCGGCGGGUCCGUGGGAGAAGUAGUUUUGUCUGACAAACGUCGAGGGCGAGGAGGAGGGGUCGCCGGCCGCAGCCUCGACUCUUAAAUCGACGGGUGAGGAGGUGGGGUUCACGACCGCCUCUUCAACGCCAGGAACUCCAACUGUGGUUGGGUCGGCAGACAGUGGGAGGUGGGCGGUUACGGCGGCUGGUAAGUUUCAAUUGGACGAUUUUGUCUACUUCAUAAUUUAUUUAACAAUUUAAAUUCAUUGGUAUAAUGGCAACAACAAUAAGGGAGUAUCGUAAGUUGAAAACAAUUAAAUAUUUAUUUAUGUAUCAAAGUUUUUAACUUUUAAUCAUACAAAAAUACAAUUAUUUUCCUAAACAUUAGCAUUCUCUAAUUUUAUUUUCCACAUGUUUAGAGUUCUAAUCAAUUAGUUUCCAAGCAUUUAGCUCCUCCCUGGUUUAUGGUUAUAUAUUCUUAUAAACAAACUAGCUCUGAUUAGUAAUAUUUAUAUAAACAUUUUUGAUAUAAUAUAACUACAUAUUAUUACUGCAUUAAUAUUACUGUACCUAUAUCGGCACGGAAUAAGAACAUGGCCAGGCGGCGGACCGAUUAGUGUCCGUUACGCACAGCCGAUUUCUCAUUGGUUCCCCAAACAUCUGUUCACAGUUAUACAGCACUGUUCAAAAUGAACCGCAUACACUGUUUUUUUAUAAACACUAGCACGUCUCUGUUGACACACGAGGCGCUCCAUAUACAAAGCCGGUAAUUGCCACCAUGGUGGGCAACGCUAUUGCAAUAAUUUGGUGCUAAUUUUUUAAAUGCCACAAUCAUUUUGCUAAUUACAAUAGUAUUGACGUAUUGUCUUUUAUGACAAUGGCCUGAUAUUUGGAUAGUAAUGUAGUAGAUUUAUUACUAUAUUAGUACCUAUAAUGUAGCUGGCAAUGGCCAUCCCAUUAUCCCGAUAAAUAAUUUAUAAAAUAUCUGGCUUAGGUACUGUCUGAUUUUAUACAUCUCUUAUAAGAAAUUAAUUAUUAAUA
Molecule: long non-coding RNA, 2558 nt
Organism: Acyrthosiphon pisum (pea aphid)
Lineage: Eukaryota; Metazoa; Arthropoda; Insecta; Hemiptera; Aphididae
Exons: 4
Source: RefSeq, a predicted model, not a curated record